Gorilla gorilla gorilla (western lowland gorilla) is the source of this 223-nucleotide non-coding RNA. It matches the Rfam family "Metazoan signal recognition particle RNA". Rfam says of the family: The signal recognition particle (SRP) is a universally conserved ribonucleoprotein. It is involved in the co-translational targeting of proteins to membranes. The record is from Rfam. NCBI's taxonomy places the organism in Eukaryota, Metazoa, Chordata, Mammalia, Primates, Hominidae.
GCCGGGUGUGAUGGUGUGCACCUGUAGUCCUAGCUACAUGGGAGGCUGAGGCAUGAUAAUCACUUGAACUCAAGAAGUGGAGGUUGCACUGAGCUGAGAUCACGCCACUGCACUCCAGCCUGGGCAACANNNNNNNNNNUGUUGCCCAGGCUGGAGUGCAGUGGCGUGAUCUCAGCUCAGUGCAACCUCCACUUCUUGAGUUCAAGUGAUUAUCAUGCCUCAG